CCUACGGGAGGCAGCAGUGAGGAAUAUUGGUCAAUGGGCGCGAGCCUGAACCAGCCAAGUCGCGUGAGGGAAGACGGCCCUACGGGUUGUAAACCUCUUUUGCCGGGGAGCAACGGGCGCCACGUGUGGCGCCCCUGAGAGUACCCGGAGAAAAAGCAUCGGCUAACUCCGUGCCAGCAGCCGCGGUAAUACGGAGGAUGCGAGCGUUAUCCGGAUGUAUGGGGGGUAAAGGGUGCGUAGGCGGUCGGAUAAGUUAGAGGUGAAAUCCCGAGGCUCAACUUCGGAAUUGCCUCUGAUACUGUUCGGCUAGAGAGUAGUUGCGGUAGGCGGAAUGUAUGGUGUAGCGGUGAAAUGCUUAGAGAUCAUACAGAACACCGAUUGCGAAGGCAGCUUACCAAGCUACUUCUGACGUUGAGGCACGAAAGCGUGGGGAGCAAACAGGAUUAGAUACCCGUGUAGUC
This 461-nucleotide ribosomal RNA is filed under the name uncultured bacterium. RNAcentral's name for it is "partial 16S ribosomal RNA". It matches the Rfam family "Bacterial small subunit ribosomal RNA", at positions 338 to 795 of the family's 1533-position model. The record is from RNAcentral.